GAGCUGGCGGCAGCUACACAUGCAGUCGAGCGGUAACAUUUCAAAAGCUUGCUUUUGAAGAUGACGAGCGGCGGACGGGUGAGUAAUGCCUGGGAAUUUGCCCAUUUGUGGGGGAUAACAGUUGGAAACGACUGCUAAUACCGCAUACGCCCUACGGGGGAAAGCAGGGGACCUUCGGGCCUUGCGCUGAUGGAUAAGCCCAGGUGGGAUUAGCUAGUAGGUGAGGUAAAGGCUCACCUAGGCGACGAUCCCUAGCUGGUCUGAGAGGAUGAUCAGCCACACUGGGACUGAGACACGGCCCAGACUCCUACGGGAGGCAGCAGUGGGGAAUAUUGCACAAUGGGGGAAACCCUGAUGCAGCCAUGCCGCGUGUGUGAAGAAGGCCUUCGGGUUGUAAAGCACUUUCAGCGAGGAGGAAAGGUUGGUAGCUAAUAACUGCCAGCUGUGACGUUACUCGCAGAAGAAGCACCGGCUAACUCCGUGCCAGCAGCCGCGGUAAUACGGAGGGUGCGAGCGUUAAUCGGAAUUACUGGGCGUAAAGCGUGCGCAGGCGGUUUGUUAAGCGAGAUGUGAAAGCCCCGGGCUCAACCUGGGAACCGCAUUUCGAACUGGCAAACUAGAGUCUUGUAGAGGGGGGUAGAAUUCCAGGUGUAGCGGUGAAAUGCGUAGAGAUCUGGAGGAAUACCGGUGGCGAAGGCGG
RNAcentral lists this ribosomal RNA (700 nucleotides) under bacterium CaletaPS4. RNAcentral describes it as "bacterial SSU rRNA". It matches the Rfam family "Bacterial small subunit ribosomal RNA", at positions 33 to 724 of the family's 1533-position model. The record is from RNAcentral.